RNAcentral lists this ribosomal RNA (1401 nucleotides) under Flavoplaca maritima. RNAcentral describes it as "eukaryotic LSU rRNA". It matches the Rfam family "Eukaryotic large subunit ribosomal RNA", at positions 40 to 1399 of the family's 3401-position model. The record is from RNAcentral. Lineage: Eukaryota; Fungi; Ascomycota; Lecanoromycetes; Teloschistales; Teloschistaceae.
AUAUCAAUAAGCGGAGGAAAAGAAACCAACAGGGAUUGCCUCAGUAACGGCGAGUGAAGCGGCAACAGCUCAAAUUUGAAAUCUGGCCCUCCCGGGGUCCGAGUUGUAAUUUGCAGAGGGCGUUUCGGGCGACGCGGCGGUCUAAGUCCCUUGGAACGGGGCGUCAUAGAGGGUGAGAAUCCCGUAUGUGACCGGUGGCCGAGCCCAUGCGAAACCCCUUCGACGAGUCGAGUUGUUUGGGAAUGCAGCUCAAAACGGGUGGUAAAUUUCAUCUAAAGCUAAAUACCGGCCAGAGACCGAUAGCGCACAAGUAGAGUGAUCGAAAGAUGAAAAGCACUUUGGAAAGAGAGUCAAAAAGUACGUGAAAUUGUUGAAAGGGAAGCGCUUGCAACCAGACCUGCCCGCGGGUGUUCCACCGUCCUUCGGGGCGGCGUACUCGCCCGCGAUCAGGCCAGCAUCGGCUCGGGCGGCCGGAUAAAGGCCCUGGGAACGUAGCUCCUUUCGGGGAGUGUUAUAGCCCAAGGUGCAAUGCGGCCCGCCCGGACCGAGGACCGCGCUUUCGGCGAGGAUGCUGGCGUAAUGGUUGUAAGCGGCCCGUCUUGAAACACGGACCAAGGAGUCUACCAACUUUGCGAGUGUUUGGGCGUCAACCCACACGCGCAAUGAAAGUGAACGGAGGUGGGAACCCCUUCGCGGGGGCGCACCAUCGACCGAUCCAGAUGUUUUCGGAUGGAUUUGAGUACGAGCAUAGCUGGUCGGACCCGAAAGAUGAUGAACUAUGCCUGAAUAGGGUGAAGCCAGAGGAAACUCUGGUGGAGGCUCGCAGCGGUUCUGACGUGCAAAUCGAUCGUCAAAUUUGGGCAUAGGGGCGAAAGUGAGUUGAACCAAAAGACCCUGUGGGCUCAUGGGACGUAAGCUAAUCGGCUGGAUAGGACUAAUCGAAUCAUCUAGUAGCUGGUUCCAGCCGAAGUUUCCCUCAGGAUAGCAGUAACGUUUUCAGUUUUAUGAGGUAAAGCGAAUGAUUAGAGGCCUUGGGGAUGCAACAUCCUUAACCUAUUCUCAAACUUUAAAUAUGUAAGAAGUCCUCGUUACUUCGUUGAACGUGGACAUUUGAAUGCACCGUUACUAGUGGGCCAUUUUUGGUAAGCAGAACUGGCGAUGCGGGAUGAACCGAACGCGAGGUUAAGGUGCCGGAAUGCACGCUCAUCAGACACCACAAAAGAUGUCAGUUCAUCUAGACAGCCGGACGGUGGCCAUGGAAGUCGGAACCCGCUAAGGAGUGUGUAACAACUCACCGGCCGAAUGAACUGGCUCUGAAAAUGGAUGGCGCUCAAGCGUGCUACCUAUACCUCGCCGCCGGGGUAGAAACGAUGCCCCGGCGAGUAGGCUGGCGUGGGGGUC